This 492-nucleotide ribosomal RNA is filed under the name uncultured bacterium. RNAcentral describes it as "partial 16S ribosomal RNA". It matches the Rfam family "Bacterial small subunit ribosomal RNA", at positions 29 to 507 of the family's 1533-position model. The record is from RNAcentral.
AGUGAACGCUGGCGGUAGGCCUAACACAUGCAAGUCGAACGGCAGCACAGUAAGAGCUUGCUCUUACGGGUGGCGAGUGGCGGACGGGUGAGGAAUACAUCGGAAUCUACUUUUUCGUGGGGGAUAACGAAGGGAAACUUACGCUAAUACCGCAUACGACCUACGGGUGAAAGCAGGGGAUCUUCGGACCUUGCGCGAUUGAAUGAGCCGAUGUCGGAUUAGCUAGUUGGCGGGGUAAAGGCCAACCAAGGCGACGAUCCGUAGCUGGUCUGAGCGGAUGAUCAGCCACACUGGAACUGAGACACGGUCCAGACUCCUACGGGAGGCAGCAGUGGGGAAUAUUGGACAAUGGGCGCAAGCCUGAUCCAGCCAUACCGCGUGGGUGAAGAAGGCCUUCGGGUUGUAAAGCCCUUUUGUUGGGAAAGAAAAGCAUCAGGUUAAUACCCCGCUGUUCUGACGGUACCCAAAGAAUAAGCACCGGCUAACUUCGUG